Pangasius djambal is the source of this 72-nucleotide non-coding RNA. The record is from the annotation of a GenBank genome assembly. NCBI's taxonomy places the organism in Eukaryota, Metazoa, Chordata, Actinopteri, Siluriformes, Pangasiidae.
UCCCUGUUGGACUAGUGGCUAGCAUGCGGCACUCUCAUUGCCAUGGUCCGGCUUCAAUUCCUGGUGAGGGAA